Molecule: transfer RNA, 62 nt
Filed under: Aristobrotica sp. REN-2018
Lineage: Eukaryota; Metazoa; Arthropoda; Insecta; Coleoptera; Chrysomelidae
Description: tRNA-Thr
Source: RNAcentral
GUUUUAAUAAGUUAAAAAAACUAUUGGUCUUGUAAAUCAAAAAUAAGCAUUCUUUUAAAACU